RNAcentral lists this ribosomal RNA (465 nucleotides) under Mannophryne sp. 1 MGP-2008. RNAcentral's name for it is "partial 16S ribosomal RNA". It matches the Rfam family "Bacterial large subunit ribosomal RNA", at positions 1938 to 2564 of the family's 2925-position model. Lineage: Eukaryota; Metazoa; Chordata; Amphibia; Anura; Aromobatidae. The record is from RNAcentral.
UAUCCUAACCGUGCGAAGGUAGCGUAAUCACUUGUCCUUUAAAUGAGGACUGGUAUGAACGGCUUCACGAAGGCUACACUGUCUCCUUUUUCCAAUCAGUAAAACUAAUCUCCCCGUGAAGAAGCGGGGAUUCAUCUAUAAGACGAGAAGACCCUAUGGAGCUUUAAACAAUUGUUUACACUUGCCUUCAAAUUUUUUAUUACAUUUAGCCAAGCAUUAUGUUUCUAGUUUUAGGUUGGGGUGACCAUGGAGAAAAACUUAUCCUCCACAUUGAAAGAAAUUCUAUUUCUUAGCAAAAAGUUACAUCUUGAUGCACCAACAAAUUGACCUUAAUUGACCCAAUAAUUUGAUCAACGAACCAAGUUACCCUAGGGAUAACAGCGCAAUCCACUUUAAGAGCUCUUAUCGACAAGUGGGUUUACGACCUCGAUGUUGGAUCAGGGUAUCCUAGUGGUGCAGCCGCUA